AUAGUGUUCACAAAGCUGUAUGGU
RNAcentral lists this non-coding RNA (24 nucleotides) under Cricetulus griseus (Chinese hamster). Lineage: Eukaryota; Metazoa; Chordata; Mammalia; Rodentia; Cricetidae. The record is from RNAcentral.